UUAAUUUAAUUCUGGUUAGUUUUUAGCUUUAAGGAUGAUAUAUUGCAUGUGAAUUUUUGUGGGAUUGUUUAUUAAUUAUCUAAAUGGUAAUUAAUAAUUAUUAGUGAUUUAUUCGCAGUUUUUGAUUUUAAAUAUAUAAAAUGUUUUUUGAUUUAUUUAAUUCUUAUAUAUAACUAGUUAAAAUUGUGCCAGCAACUGCGGUUAUACAAUUAGUUAGAGUUAAUUUUUUUGAUAUAAUAUAUUUAAUACAAAUUAUAUUUAUAUUAUUGGUUACUUAUUUUGUUUUGAUAUUAGGUGAAAUUUUAUUAAAUAUUAUUAAUGUAGCUGGUUUUUGUUUAAUUAUAUGAAAUUCUUGGUUUAGACUAGGAUUAGAUACCCUAUUAUUGAGAAUGUAAAUUUAUAUUAUUAUAUUAUUAAUAGUUUAUGAUCUUUAAAAGUAAAAGGAUUUGACGGUAAUUAUAUCUUUUCAGAGGAACCUGUCCUGUAAUUGAUAAUCCACGUUAAAUUUUACCUUAGUUUUAUGGUUUGUAUAUCUCUGUUUUUAGAAUGUUCUAUUAGGAAAAUUAUUCAUGUUAUUUUCUUACAUUUAUAUAAGUAAAUUUAUAUCAGGUCAAGGUGCAGCUAUAUUAAGGUUUAAGAUGGGUUACAUUAAUUUAUAAAUUUUGGAAUUAGUUUUAUAUGUAUUUAUUUAAUGAAAUAGGAUUUGAUUGUAAUAUUUUAUUAUAUAUUAUUUGUGAUAUUAGCUCUUUAUUAAGUACACAUCGCCCGUCGCUCUCAUUAUUAAAAUGAGAUAAGUCGUAACAAAGUAGGUCUAUCGGAAGGUGGACCUGGAAUUAUUAA
This 840-nucleotide non-coding RNA is filed under the name Megacopta distanti. The record is from RNAcentral. Lineage: Eukaryota; Metazoa; Arthropoda; Insecta; Hemiptera; Plataspidae.